Molecule: long non-coding RNA, 896 nt
Organism: Phyllostomus discolor (pale spear-nosed bat)
Lineage: Eukaryota; Metazoa; Chordata; Mammalia; Chiroptera; Phyllostomidae
Exons: 2
Source: RefSeq, a predicted model, not a curated record
AAUACAUUGUUAUUGUUUUAAGUCACCAUGUCAAUGAUCUAUUGCUGUGUAACAAACCACCGAAAACUAGUAGCCCAAACCACGACCAUUUACUAUUUCUCAUGAUUCUGGGAGUCAGCUGGAGUCAGCUGGGCAUUGACUAGGCUCACUCACUUGGCAUCUGAGCUGGAAGGUCUGAGAAGUCUUCCUUCGCUCACACAUCAGGCACCUCCGUUGGCCUCCACAUAACCUCUGUCUUUCCAGGUCACUAGCUCUGUCUUCCUCACAGCAUGUGGUCCUUUCAGCAGGACGGUCAGGCUUCUUACCAGGCAGCUGGCUUUGAGGGAAGAACUGAACACUGCCAGCCUUCUUAAGGACUGAGCUUGGAAGUUCUAGAACAUCCACUUCAUUCUAUUGGACAAAGCAGUUACAAGGCAAACCAGAUUUAAGAGGAGAGGAAAUAGACUCAAACUUUUGGUUUGAGGGGAAGCAUUGAUGUCUCAAGAGCAAACUGAAGUUCUAUAAAUAUCCAGAAAAGAGUUGACAGAGGGAAUUUGCGGAGCAUUGGUCAACUAUGCAUACUUCUACUAGGUCAUCUGUGUCUAUUCUUCAACUAGAAAAACCCCCUCAGGAAUCCACAUGAAAGGCCUGCAUUGUGGUGGGGCCAAGCGGCCUGGGAGGUGGGAGAAGCAGCCACAGCCAGGCUGCCCAGGUUCGCCAAGGCUCUUGGUGCACCAGGACCUUCAGGCACCAGCAUGCACCCUCCUGUGCCACCAUGCUGCCACCAUGCCAAGAGGAAGGUCAGCUCUGCCAAGGAGGUGGCAAAGUAGGAGCCCAAGAGGAUAUUGGCAAAGUUGUCAACUAAACCUGCUCCUGCAGAAUAGAAAUGAAGCCAAACAAACAAACAAACAAACAAA